UACGAAGGGGGCUAGCGUUGCUCGGAAUCACUGGGCGUAAAGGGUGCGUAGGCGGGUCUUUAAGUCAGGGGUGAAAGCCCCCAGCUCAACUUGGGAAGUGCCUUUGAUACUGGCCAUCUCGAGGGAGGUAGGGGCGUGCGGAACUUCCGGUGGAGCGGUGAAAUGCGUAGAUAUCGGAAGGAACACCGGUGGCGAAAGCGGCGCGCUGGACCUCUUCUGACGCUGAGGUGCGAAAGCCAGGGGAGCAAACGGG
Molecule: ribosomal RNA, 253 nt
Filed under: uncultured bacterium
Lineage: Bacteria
Description: partial 16S ribosomal RNA
Rfam family: Bacterial small subunit ribosomal RNA
Source: RNAcentral